This is a long non-coding RNA of Sinocyclocheilus rhinocerous, 792 nucleotides long. RefSeq lists it as uncharacterized. Lineage: Eukaryota; Metazoa; Chordata; Actinopteri; Cypriniformes; Cyprinidae. The transcript is spliced from 2 exons. The record is from RefSeq and is a predicted model, not a curated record.
CCCCUAUGCGGACAGGGCGGCGCCGCCUCCACCACCUGCGCGCUACUCGUAUUAAAGUGCACCACUGCGCUUUUGUAAUCCAAGGUGUAAAUUAUUCAACAAGAUCGUCGUCGUCGUCGUCUCCAGGUGCACGUGCCGCGAUACGUCUUUGUCUGCCAGAGCGCGUUUCGUUCGCCUGCGCACCAUAGUGGAAGAGUUCUGUUGCAGACUGCACAUUCUAUAAAACUACCGCUUUUACACGCAUAAAAUCGUCCUCAUGCUAAAUUGUCAACUCUGCUUUAUUUUAUUUUAUUUUUUUGCCUUGUUUUUAUUGUUUAACAUUUGAUAGGUGAGAGAGGCACUAAGCCAGAGCACGUCAAUUAGGUUAACUUGGUGGUUUGGUAAAGACUAUGAAAGGAACGCAUAUUAAAAAUUCUUCUUUCAAAGAACACUUCAAUGUAUCUCACUGUACAUUUUUACCUUUAAAAUCUGGAAUGAGCUUAUCGUUUGUUAUUAAACUACUGUAACGAGCACUAUUCCAUAACUUUGAUUUUGAACCAAAAAUUCAUUUGUGUAAUUCAUUUUUUUUUUCUCGCUCUUUUUUUUUUUUUUUUUUCCCUCUAAGCUAUUUGUUAAAGUGCGGCAUGCAAGUAAAAAUACAUUCUCCACAGCAAUAAAACCUUUCCGUCUACUGGCUUUAUUGAAAUUGUGCUGUAGUGUGGAUUUUAGUUGCAGAGUAUCGAAGUUAAAGGACUUUGUAUCAUUUUCUUUCAUAGGAACACUUAACAGUUUUAAUAAAAAGACUGGAACUUG